GACGAACGCUGGCGGCGUGCUUAACACAUGCAAGUCGAACGGAAAGGCCCUGCUUUUGUGGGGUGCUCGAGUGGCGAACGGGUGAGUAACACGUGAGUAACCUGCCCUUGACUUUGGGAUAACUUCAGGAAACUGGGGCUAAUACCGGAUAGGAGCCCCUGCUGCAUGGUGGGGGUUGGAAAGUUUCGGCGGUUGGGGAUGGACUCGCGGCUUAUCAGCUUGUUGGUGGGGUAGUGGCUUACCAAGGCUUUGACGGGUAGCCGGCCUGAGAGGGUGACCGGCCACAUUGGGACUAAGAUACGGCCCAGACUCCUACGGGAGGCAGCAGUGGGGAAUAUUGCACAAUGGGCGGAAGCCUGAUGCAGCAACGCCGCGUGCGGGAUGACGGCCUUCGGGUUGUAAACCGCUUUCGCCUGUGACGAAGCGUGAGUGACGGUAAUGGGUAAAGAAGCACCGGCUAACUACGUG
RNAcentral lists this ribosomal RNA (468 nucleotides) under uncultured bacterium. Its description in RNAcentral is "partial 16S ribosomal RNA". It matches the Rfam family "Bacterial small subunit ribosomal RNA", at positions 28 to 507 of the family's 1533-position model. The record is from RNAcentral.